This 4744-nucleotide unclassified non-coding RNA is filed under the name Leishmania donovani. Its description in RNAcentral is "gene:LdHU3.33.2640(CDS-product:thiamine_biosynthe sis-like_protein)". The record is from RNAcentral. Lineage: Eukaryota; Euglenozoa; Kinetoplastea; Trypanosomatida; Trypanosomatidae.
UUCCAUCCUUGUGGAGGGCAUUGCGUCUCUGACGGCUCCAUUCCUGGGGCUCACAACAUCCGCAGAUUCCGCUCCCUUUUUUUCUUUCAUAAACCCCAUUGAAUACUGAAUAAAUAAAAAGUAGGCAGGAACCAUGCCGUCUAAUAGGCAGGAGGAAAAGCUGCCGACAAAUCCGCGGGAGUUCCCUGAUAACCGGACGCCGAAUUUCAUCCUCAAGGCAAAGAAUGGCCACUUUCACUUCAUGAUGGUGGAGCCCGAUGUGUCCAAGAACUACCUGUGGUACAUGUCGGAGCCGAAGCUCGUCAGAGUUCCCGAGCUCGAGGCGGAGAUGCGCGUUCCGGGACGCCGCUGGUACGCGACGGACAAGGCUGGCUUUGAGCUGCAGAGGAGGAACAACGCCGUCGCGACUGAGGGUGAGCCGUACGUCUGCCUACACAAUAUUAAGGACCCCGAGCUGUACUGGUUCGGUAAGCGCCACGCAGAGCCGCCGGUGGAACAGGUGACGCUGGUGAUUUCCGUCGGAGAGCUGUACUUGAAGAGCGCUAUUCACCGCAAGCGGCUGGUCCGUGUGCUUAUGGACAGUAUACGUCGCGUUCUCCAGAACCCGCAGGUCUUCCGAAACGGUGACACCAUGAUCGAGGUGCGCAAGGAGAUGCCUACGAAGGAGCAGUUGAAGCUGCUUGCGCUGCUGCCCGGUAUUGCCAAGAUUUACGAGGCCUCUCAGGAGAGGGGGGAGCGCAAGGGCGAUCCUCGCGGCGCGUUCAUCUGCUCCGGCGCUCAGGGCAUCCCCAUUACACCCGAUCAGCGUGUGCUCGCUCUCAUCAGUGGUGGUAUCGACAGCCCCGUGGCGGCGUAUCGGAUGAUGACGCGCGGCUGCCUCGUCAAUGGUGUGCAUUUUCUCAACAGCACCAACGACACUGCCUCCGUUAUGGAGAAGAACCGGCGCAUCUGCGAGCGCCUGUCGAGCGUGCAAGGUCGCUUGGACAUGCACUACGUGGACAUCAGCACACUGCAGUCGCAGAUCGUGGCGAACGUGCCGAACCACAACCGCACCUUAAUCUACAAGUGGUUUAUGCUGUCGCUUGCAGCCAGCUUUGACGACUCGUGCUUCAUUGUCACCGGUGACUCUGCUGGGCAGGUGGCAUCGCAGACGGUGCACAACAUCAGCACGCUGUACCCCACCGUAUGCAAGGCCGUCAUUGCCCCCCUGAUUGGUGUAACGAAGAACUUUAUCAUUGACGAGGCGCGCAAGAUCAACACCUUCGACUUUUCCAUUCAGGAGGGCGCGGACUGCUGCCAGUACAUGAUGUGCAAGUCCGGUGCAAAUCUGAUGAUGGGUCGCCGAACCCUCGAGGCGUAUGUACGUCGCAUCAAGCUGACCGAGCUCAAGGUGAUGAAGGAGGUGUACCGCGACGGGAAGCUGUGCGAGUCGUCCGAGUUCACAUACUAUCCUCAGUCCGGCGUGCGUGUGCCGAAUAACACUCCGCCUCCAGCGGCCUUGGUGCAGGAUGCUUCGAGCGAGGACGAUGUGCACGACGUAGUCUACUUCGACGCCGCUGCCGGAACCAAGAUUGCAGAGCAGGUCCAGAUGGCCAUGAUGCGCGCCCCCGAAGGGAAUCCGAAUAGCAUGCACAUGAGCGGCCGCGAGGCUCGCAUGGCAGUGGAGAAGGUGCGUAGCCAGCUGGCAAAGGUGAUGCAUGUACCGGCGAACGACAUCAUUUUCACCUCAGGUGGCACAGAGUCGAACAACAUUGCGCUGAACGGCUACCGCGUCGUGCGCGAGCCCUGGUCGCACGCCUCGACGAUCGAGAAUUCAAACAUUCCUGACGGGGCCACUGUGGUGAAGGUGGUGGACCUUGUAAACCACGAGACGGGCAGCAUUGAUCGCAACCUGACCCGCCCUGAGGGCGGCCGCCUUCACAUUGAUGCAAGCCAAGGCCUGCUUAAGGUCGAUUUUGGCUCUCUCGACCUGAGUGAAGUCGACUCCAUCACGGUCACGGCGCACAAGAUUAACGGACCCGUUGGUGUUGGCGCGGUUUACCUGCGCGACCUGACCUGCAACAAGCUCUUCAGUGGCGGCUCGCAAGAGAAGGGCAUCCGCCCGGGGACGGAGAACGUUCCUGCGAUUGUCGGCUUCGGUGCAGCUCUAGCCCUCGACCGCAGCCACUCGCUCCAUAAGGAGAUCGACACUCUCAUGACGGAGGAGUUGGAAAAGAUGGGAUGUGAGAUCAACCGUCGAGGUGAGACCAGUGGCUACAUCGUGCACGCCACCCUUCCGCCAGGCUACAGCAACACAGAUGUAGUGUCACGCCUCUCCACCAAGUACCAUGUCGAAAUCGGCACCGGAUCUGCGUGUAAGACAAAUGAGGUGAACACCACCGUCUACGACACGCUGGGCAAGACACCUGCGCCGACGCGCUCCAUCCGCAUCAGCUGGGAUUCUUUUGCCACCUUGAACGACGCGGAGCGUGUCUUGAGCGCCUUGAAGAAAGUCCUUGGCGAGAUUGAGCUGAUGCGCUAGCUUGUCAGUAUACCCUCUCCAGUUCCACACAUGCGCACACGUGUGCCCUUUUCCCAGCUGCUUUCGCAUUGUAUUUUUCUCCGUACUGUAAAUGCCGGCGCUUCCAGCCUGUCGCGUGCGCCUCUCAUUUCGGUCUGUCUGUGGUGAUUGCGACUUGGUGCACUACGGCGAAGUGGUCAAGACUGCGAAGUCGGCAGUGCCAGAGGCUCCGACGACAGCUGCGCGGAUCGCGGACUUGGCCAUCGGCCUCAGACGCCAGGCCGACAUCCCCUGCAACCGCGCUACAUGAUGCGACAUGCAGCCACAAGAGCUCCUUGGCGGCGGCUGUCUCAUACCAGAAGAACAAGGAUGCUGAGCCUACGAGCCGACAGGAGACCGUGCUUGCCCAGUCCCGCACGGGCACCUGCCCGCACUUUGGAUCCCUGCAGCGGCGGGUGGCUGGCAGUGACAAGAUGGAGUGCAGCUGGUGUGCUGCCUAUCACUGAGCAAUCAUAGUGGCGCCCCCCCCACCAGUGCUUUCCUACGAGGGCGUCCGACCCCGCGUUGUACCCCGGCAUGCUACGCGAAAUUCGCGGGUCGCCCUGCGCUCACAGCACACCUGAUUGCACUCUGUGAUCUUGCAUGCAAUGACCUGACUACCCACAUCUCACUCGCGCCGCAUGAAGCUCGUCCGUGGGAUGUCUACCGCUGCCCCCUUGUGCCCCUUCAGUGCGGCAGGCUGUGAGCUCUUUGUGUGCUCACGCGCAUGCGUAUCCGCUGACCCCUUCCGCCUUACUCAGCCACGCGUGUGAAAGGCGUUCGGGUUCAGAGGAGGGCGGAAUGCUUUCAGCUGCCACAGACUCAUAGCAGCGUCCCAACUGUCGUGGCGCGUGCGGGCAAGCCAUCUAGACAUGCACCCAGACAACCAUGUCGCUCUGAGGAAGGCCCCAGGAUGCAGAGAUGCGAGCACUGUGCGCGCACGCUGUCAAACACCGCUGGCAUGGUGCGCCGCAUCCGAACGGGGCAUCCAGAGGCCAGAAGAGCACAAGCGAUGCACGAAAAAGGCGCAAAGAGACCCAAUACGAAUCAGCCCCAAAGCGCAUGUGCGCGAGACACGCGGCAUCUCCUACAUCCGACGGGAUGGGCUGAUGCGGCGCAGAUGCCGGAAGCAUGGCGAGGGCGCCACGAAUUUGCACCAUCGAGUCUUCGACACUCCCAUGUGAAGAGCCUCCGAGCUACAUUAUGGUAUGCCGCGGCUGGAGGCGAGGCGGGAAGAAGCAUGACACACACGCAGAGUGUGCAGGGCCUCGGAGGACCCUGGCCUGAGGCCGGCCAACUUCCUAAAUUCAUCCGGCAUGCGCCUGGAUCCAUUCCCUACCACCCGUACGGAAGACGCCACCGUCUUUGCCCUCGAGCAGGACCCCAGACGCGACCCUCUUGGAUCAAGGCAUGCACUCCAGCCGAGUAUGUCGCCCUGAUCGCGCUGCAGGCAUCUAAGGAAGUAACGAGGAGCGAGAAGAAGAGCGUGCUUGACAAAGGCCCGAUUGGACGGCAGAGGGUUCUUCCUGGAGGACCAGAGCGUAGCCGUGGUGCAACAGAGGCGGCUGAAGUGCUGUUUUCGUGUGCGCAUAUUUUCCGACGUUUACGUGGCCGAGUGAAACGCUGCGGAAAAAAGAUCCUCUGCCGUCCCUGAUGGUGGUGACACCUCGACGCGUGGUACCCAUGACUCUGUACACGCCCUGUGUGGGGAAGAAGCCAGGCAGCCCCUAUCCCCUGCCAAUGCUGCACCGCACCUGGCGGUGGCAGGGUCAGGCGCCUACGACGUGGGGGAGGUCAGAGCGAUGCAUCGCUGCUGACGUGGGCGGCCAGGUCGUGGAUGGCGCCGCGUCGGAGCGACCCGCGACCGUGCACCGGGCUGCGCCAUCCAUGCUAUAUGGGCGGAGUGUCAGCGCGACUCGACCGCGACCCGCCCGGCCCUCACUGCCUCCUGGUGUGUGGCGCCUGCGCCACGCCGAGGGAUGCGCCGGGUGGCGGCCGGCAUAGUGGGGGCAGCUGUGGGGCUGCGUGCGCAGAAGAGGCUGGCAGAGGCUGAGGCAGGGCCCGUGCUGAGAUGGCUGCGCCGGCGCACGGCUGUGAUGCGCGUGUCUCUAGCGCUGCUUCGCACCACGCGAUGGGGGCCUGCGACGGGCCGGGGCUAGCGUGCCCCUUCCGCCCAUGCUGUAAUGGCGGAAUGAGCGCGUUGAG